AAAAGUAAGUAAGGGCACAUGGCGGAUGCCUUGGCUCUCGGAGGCGAUGAAGGACGUGAUAAGCUGCGAUAAGCUGCGGGUAGGUGCAAAUGACCUUUGAUCCGCGGAUUUCCGAAUGGGACAACCCGGUACUUUGAAGAAGUAUCAUCCUGCAUUGCAGGAGGCUAACGCAGGGAACUGAAACAUCUUAGUACCUGCAGGAAAAGAAAAUAAACAAUGAUUCCCCCAGUAGUGGCGAGCGAACGGGGAAUAGCCCAAACCAUCCAUGUUACGGCAUGGGUGGGGUUGUAGGACCACGCCGUGGCAAGAAAGUUGGUGAGCAGAAUGUUCUGGAAAGUACAGCCAUAGAGCAUGACAGCUGCGUAUGCGAAGCCAAGCGAAGCCUAGUGGUAUCCUGAGUAGCGCGGAGCACGAGGAAUUCUGCGUGAAUCUGCCGGGACCAUCCGGUAAGGCUAAAUACUCCCGAGAGACCGAUAGUGAACCAGUACUGUGAAGGAAAGGUGAAAAGCACUUCGAACAGAAGAGUGAAAUAGUUCCUGAAACCAUGUGCCUACAAGCGGUCGGAGCACCUUUUGGUGUGACGGCGUGCCUUUUGCAUAAUGAACCUACGAGUUACUUUUUCCGGCGAGGUUAAGGAUUUCAGAUCUGCAGCCGAAGCGAAAGCGAGUCUGAACAGGGCGUAUAGUCGGAAGGAGUAGACGCGAAACCAAGUGAUCUACCCUUGGGCAGGUUGAAGGAUGGGUAACACCAUCUGGAGGACCGAACCAAUAAGCGUUGAAAAGCUUCUGGAUGACCUGAGGGUGGGGGUGAAAGGCUAAUCAAACUUGGAGAUAGCUCGUACUCCCCGAAAUGCAUUUAGGUGCAGCCUUGACUUAUACUGGCAUGAGGUAGAGCGACUGAUAAGAUGCGAGGGCUUCACCGCCUAUCAAGUCUUGACAAACUCCGAAUGCGUGUCAGUUCUAUGUCAGGAGUGAGGGCAUGGGUGCUAAGGUCCAUGUCCUAAAGGAGAACAAUCCGGACCAACAGCUAAGGUCCCGAAAUGAAUACUAAGUUGAACUAACGAAGUCAGAUUGCUAAGACAGCUAGGAUGUUGGCUUGGAAGCAGCCAUUCAUUUAAAGAGUGCGUAACAGCUCACUAGUCGAGGAGUUUGGCGUGGAUAAUAAUCGGGCAUAAGUAUUCUACCGAAGCUUUGGGAUGAGAAAUCAUCGGUAGGGGAGCAUUCCACUCGGCGUCGAAGGUGAAGCGCGAGCUUUGCUGGAGCGUGUGGAAAAGCAAAUGUAGGUAUAAGUAACGAUAAAGGGGGUGGGAAACCCCCUCGCCGAAAGACUAAGGUUUCCUGAUCAACGCUAAUCGGAUCAGGGUAAGUCGGGUCCUAAGGCUCAGCCGAACGGCGAGGCCGAUGGCAGAACCGGUUAAUAUUCCGGUACUACCUGUGGGAGUGACGUGGAGACGGAGUCGUGACAGCGCCGCGGACUGACGGAAUAGUCCGUUGAAGGGUGUAGAUGCUGAUUGUUCCAGGCAAAUCCGGAGCAAGAGUCGAACCUGAUAGUAUGGAGCGUUCUUAGAACAAUCCAAUAGUGCGUGUAAUCAUACUUCCAAGAAAAUCCGCUAAACUUAAUCCUGCAGGUACCCGUACCGCAAACGGACACACGUAGUCGGGUUGAAUAUACUAAGGCGCUUGAGUGAUUCACGGUUAAGGAACUAGGCAAACUGACCCUGUAACUUCGGGAUAAAGGGUCCUCGCUUUACGGCGAGGCGCAGAGAAUAGGUCCAGGCAACUGUUUAACAAAAACACAGGGCUGUGCAAAAUUGAAAGAUGAAGUAUACAGCCUGACACCUGCCCGGUGCUGGAAGGUUAAGAGGAGAUGUCAUCGCAAGAGAAGCAUUGAAUUGAAGCCCCAGUAAACGGCGGCCGUAACUAUAACGGUCCUAAGGUAGCGAAAUUCCUUGUCGGGUAAGUUCCGACCUGCACGAAUGGUGUAAUGAUCUGGACGCUGUCUCAACCGUGAGCUCAGUGAAAUUGUAGUAUCGGUGAAGAUGCCGAUUACCCGCGAUGGGACGAAAAGACCCCGUGAACCUUUACUAUAGCUUAACAUUGAAUUUGGGUAAUUGAUGUGUAGGAUAGGCCGGAGGCUU
This 2137-nucleotide ribosomal RNA is filed under the name gut metagenome. RNAcentral describes it as "bacterial LSU rRNA". It matches the Rfam family "Bacterial large subunit ribosomal RNA", at positions 1 to 2157 of the family's 2925-position model. The record is from RNAcentral.